RNAcentral lists this ribosomal RNA (688 nucleotides) under uncultured Bacilli bacterium. Its description in RNAcentral is "bacterial SSU rRNA". It matches the Rfam family "Bacterial small subunit ribosomal RNA", at positions 62 to 733 of the family's 1533-position model. The record is from RNAcentral. Lineage: Bacteria; Bacillati; Bacillota; Bacilli.
UAGAACGCUGAAGAGAGGAGCUUGCUCUUCUUGGAUGAGUUGCGAACGGGUGAGUAACGCGUAGGUAACCUGCCUUGUAGCGGGGGAUAACUAUUGGAAACGAUAGCUAAUACCGCAUAACAAUGGAUGACACAUGUCAUUUAUUUGAAAGGGGCAAUUGCUCCACUACAAGAUGGACCUGCGUUGUAUUAGCUAGUAGGUGAGGUAACGGCUCACCUAGGCGACGAUACAUAGCCGACCUGAGAGGGUGAUCGGCCACACUGGGACUGAGACACGGCCCAGACUCCUACGGGAGGCAGCAGUAGGGAAUCUUCGGCAAUGGGGGCAACCCUGACCGAGCAACGCCGCGUGAGUGAAGAAGGUUUUCGGAUCGUAAAGCUCUGUUGUAAGUCAAGAACGAGUGUGAGAGUGGAAAGUUCACACUGUGACGGUAGCUUACCAGAAAGGGACGGCUAACUACGUGCCAGCAGCCGCGGUAAUACGUAGGUCCCGAGCGUUGUCCGGAUUUAUUGGGCGUAAAGCGAGCGCAGGCGGUUUGAUAAGUCUGAAGUUAAAGGCUGUGGCUCAACCAUAGUUCGCUUUGGAAACUGUCAAACUUGAGUGCAGAAGGGGAGAGUGGAAUUCCAUGUGUAGCGGUGAAAUGCGUAGAUAUAUGGAGGAACACCGGUGGCGAAAGCGGCUCUCUGGU